UACGAAAGGGGCUAGCGUUGUUCGGAAUUACUGGGCGUAAAGCGCGCGUAGGCGGGCUGUUAAGUCGAGGGUGAAAUCCCGGGGCUCAACCCCGGAACUGCCUUCGAUACUGGCAGCCUAGAGGUCGGGAGAGGUGAGUGGAAUGCCGAGUGUAGAGGUGAAAUUCGUAGAUAUUCGGCGGAACACCCGUGGCGAAGGCGGCUCACUGGCCCGAUACUGACGCUGAGGUGCGAAAGCGUGGGGAGCAAAUAGG
Molecule: ribosomal RNA, 253 nt
Filed under: uncultured bacterium
Lineage: Bacteria
Description: partial 16S ribosomal RNA
Rfam family: Bacterial small subunit ribosomal RNA
Source: RNAcentral